RNAcentral lists this ribosomal RNA (497 nucleotides) under uncultured bacterium. Its description in RNAcentral is "partial 16S ribosomal RNA". It matches the Rfam family "Bacterial small subunit ribosomal RNA", at positions 28 to 507 of the family's 1533-position model. The record is from RNAcentral.
GACGAACGCUGGCGGCGUGCCUAAUACAUGCAAGUUGAGCGAUGAAGAUUGGUGCUUGCACCAAUUUGAAGAGCAGCGAACGGGUGAGUAACGCGUGGGGAAUCUGCCUUUGAGCGGGGGACAACAUUUGGAAACGAAUGCUAAUACCGCAUAACAACUUUAAACAUAAGUUUUAAGUUUGAAAGAUGCAAUUGCAUCACUCAAAGAUGAUCCCGCGUUGUAUUAGCUAGUUGGUGAGGUAAAGGCUCACCAAGGCGAUGAUACAUAGCCGACCUGAGAGGGUGAUCGGCCACAGUGGGACUGAGACACGGCCCAAACUCCUACGGGAGGCAGCAGUAGGGAAUCCUCGGCAAUGGACGAAAGUCUGACCGAGCAACGCCGCGUGAGUGAAGAAGGUUUUCGGAUCGUAAAACUCUGUUGGUAGAGAAGAACGUUGGUGAGAGUGGAAAGCUCAUCAAGUGACGGUAACUACCCAGAAAGGGACGGCUAACUACGUG